CCUACGGGAGGCAGCAGUGGGGAAUAUUGCACAAUGGGCGAAAGUCUGAUGCAGCAACGCCGCGUGAGCGAUGAAGGCCUUCGGGUCGUAAAGCUCUGUCCUCAAGGAAGAUAAUGACGGUACUUGAGGAGGAAUCCCCGGCUAACUACGUGACAGCAGCCGCCGUAAUACGUCGUGGGCUAGGGUUAUCCGGAAUGACGGGGCGGAAAGGGUGCGGCGGUGGUUUCUUAAGUCAGAGGUGAAAGGCUACGGCUCAACCGUAGUAAGCCUUUGAAACUGGGGAACUUGAGUGCAGGAGAGGAGAGUGGAAUUCCUAGUGUAGCGGUGGAAUGCGUAGAUAUUAGGAGGAACACCAGUGGCGAAGGCGGCUCUCUGGACUGUAACUGACACUGAGGCACGAAAGCGUGGGGAGCAAACAGGAUUAGAUACCCCGGUAGUC
This 439-nucleotide ribosomal RNA is filed under the name uncultured bacterium. Its description in RNAcentral is "partial 16S ribosomal RNA". It matches the Rfam family "Bacterial small subunit ribosomal RNA", at positions 338 to 795 of the family's 1533-position model. The record is from RNAcentral.